AGAGAGAGACAUGCGCGCAUAUCAAUAAGCGGAGGAAAAGAAACUAACUAGGAUUCCCUUAGUAACGGCGAGUGAAGCGGGAAGAGCUCAAAUUUGAAAUCUUCAAGGUUUUACCUUGACGAAUUGUAGUUUAUAGAAGUGUUUUCUGUAGUGGAGUUUGGUAAAAGUUCUUUGGAAUAGGACAUCAUAGAGGGUGAGAAUCCCGUAUUUGAUCCAUUACUUCCCUAGCUGUGUGAUACACUUUCAAAGAGUCGGAUUGUUUGGGAAUGCAGUCCAAAAUGGGUGGUAAAUUUCAUCUAAAGCUAAAUAUUGGCGAGAGACCGAUAGCGAACAAGUACCGUGAGGGAAAGAUGAAAAGAACUUUGAAAAGAGAGUUAAACAGUACGUGAAAUUGUCAAAAGGGAAGCGUUUGACACCAGUGUUGUUUUUCCGAAAAUCAAUUACGAAUGUUUUAUUUUUGAGGAGUUAUGACUUCAUCGGCUUGCUCCUUUCUUUAUGAAACUUUCUUAAUGCACUUUUCGGUUAACAAGUCAACAUCAAUUUCUUUUGUUGUAAAAGGGUAUGAGGAAGGUGGCUUUCUUUCGGAGAAAGUGUUUAUAGCCUUGUGCCUCUAGCAAUCGGAGAGAUUGAGGUCUGCAGCGUAGAUCCUUCGGGGUUAGAUACAGUUUGUGCUAAGUUAUAGCUUUCAUAGACAACUUGUCGACUAUGUUUAGUCUUGUAGCUUACUCGCUGAUGCUAUUUUACCUACGCUUAGGAUGUUGAUAGUCACAGCGUGUAC
RNAcentral lists this ribosomal RNA (778 nucleotides) under uncultured Neocallimastigales. RNAcentral's name for it is "partial large subunit ribosomal RNA". It matches the Rfam family "Eukaryotic large subunit ribosomal RNA", at positions 23 to 644 of the family's 3401-position model. Lineage: Eukaryota; Fungi; Neocallimastigomycota; Neocallimastigomycetes; Neocallimastigales. The record is from RNAcentral.